RNAcentral lists this ribosomal RNA (303 nucleotides) under Triticum aestivum (bread wheat). RNAcentral describes it as "partial small subunit ribosomal RNA". The record is from RNAcentral. Lineage: Eukaryota; Viridiplantae; Streptophyta; Magnoliopsida; Poales; Poaceae.
AUGGUCUGUUUCUUUGUUGUUGAUUACCCUAUGGCAACGAUUGAUGCAGACAACAAACAAGUGGCAAGCCUAGGUCCCAUGGACGCUCAGCACGAGAUAUUUGCAAACCACACACAAGUUCAGGACGAGUUACAUACAUCCAGCUACGACAAGCAUACACCACAUCACAUCGGAUGUUAUUUGUUUUAUCAUUAUUAUUCAAACCCUGCCGGUCUCAUCACUGCAAUGCAGUUCACACGCGCGCGCGCACACACACACACAACCACGGGCACUCACACAGAAGACAGAGCCCAUCAAAGAUGA